GUGUCAGCCGCCGCGGUAAUACAGAGGGUGCGAGCGUUAAUCGGAAUUACUGGGCGUAAAGGGCGCGUAGGUGGAUACGUAAGUCGGAUGUGAAAUCCCCGGGCUUAACCUGGGAAUGGCAUACGAUACUGGGUAUCUAGAGUUGGUUAGAGGGAAGUGGAAUUUCCGGUGUAGCGGUGAAAUGCGUAGAUAUCGGAAGGAACAUCAGUGGCGAAGGCGGCUUCCUGGAUCCAAACUGACACUGAGGCGCGAAAGCGUGGGGAGCAAACAGGAUUAGAUACCCCCGUAGUCC
This 292-nucleotide ribosomal RNA is filed under the name uncultured bacterium. RNAcentral's name for it is "partial 16S ribosomal RNA". It matches the Rfam family "Bacterial small subunit ribosomal RNA", at positions 505 to 796 of the family's 1533-position model. The record is from RNAcentral.